AUUGAACGCUGGCGGCAGGCCUAACACAUGCAAGUCGAAUGGUAACAGGAAACAGCUUGCUGUUUCGCUGACGAGUGGCGGACGGGUGAGUAAUGUCUGGGAAACUGCCUGAUGGAGGGGGAUAACUACUGGAAACGGUAGCUAAUACCGCAUAACGUCGCAAGACCAAAGAGGGGGACCUUCGGGCCUCUUGCCAUCGGAUGUGCCCAGAUGGGAUUAGCUAGUAGGUGGGGUAACGGCUCACCUAGGCGACGAUCCCUAGCUGGUCUGAGAGGAUGACCAGCCACACUGGAACUGAGACACGGUCCAGACUCCUACGGGAGGCAGCAGUGGGGAAUAUUGCACAAAGGGCGCAAGCCUGAUGCAGCCAUGCCGCGUGUAUGAAGAAGGCCUUCGGGUUGUAAAGUACUUUCAGCGGGGAGGAAGGGAGUAAAGUUAAUACCUUUGCUCAUUGACGUUACCCGCAGAAGAAGCACCGGCUAACUCCGUG
Molecule: ribosomal RNA, 490 nt
Filed under: uncultured bacterium
Lineage: Bacteria
Description: partial 16S ribosomal RNA
Rfam family: Bacterial small subunit ribosomal RNA
Source: RNAcentral